This 75-nucleotide transfer RNA is filed under the name Alphaproteobacteria bacterium. RNAcentral describes it as "tRNA-Met". It matches the Rfam family "tRNA". From Rfam's summary of the family: Transfer RNA (tRNA) molecules are approximately 80 nucleotides in length. Their secondary structure includes four short double-helical elements and three loops (D, anti-codon, and T loops). Lineage: Bacteria; Pseudomonadati; Pseudomonadota; Alphaproteobacteria. RNAcentral also lists the same sequence under 1 other name. The record is from RNAcentral.
CGCAGAGUAGAUCAGUGGCAGAUCGGGUCCCUCAUAAGGAUUAGGUCGGAGGUUCGAUCCCUCCCUCUGCGACCA